Molecule: long non-coding RNA, 331 nt
Filed under: Phaseolus vulgaris (common bean)
Lineage: Eukaryota; Viridiplantae; Streptophyta; Magnoliopsida; Fabales; Fabaceae
Description: long non-coding RNA (PVUL_LNC002110)
Source: RNAcentral
GAAAAUCCUCUUCCUUCAUUAAUAAAAUCCUCUCCUAGUGGAUAUCCAUCAUACUCCCCGAGUUGGAGAGAAUUCGUCCACGAAUUCAGUACUCCUGCAUAAAACAAAGUCAGUUUGCUAUUAUAUAAGAGAAGACAAGAAGAAAUGGGCAAACAUGACUUAUCACUUUGAAAUGGUGGGAGUUCAAAAAAAGAUGGUCUAUACACAGACCAUGUUGGAAAAGAUUGUUUAGGAAUGAUAUUAUUUGGUAAAAUAGGAGAUAUGAAAAAAUCAUCCUUAACAUUCUUUAUCCAAUAUGGUGUGGAAGUAGGAACCUUAGGUAAUGAAAAUG